GUUCAAACUUAUAGGAACCUAAUACAUAGUCACAAACAAUCCUCAUAACAAAAGCAAGUAUACACCAAAGCAAUCAACAUUCAACAAUCAGAUUCUUUUUUCACUUAUUUUCAUAGAUACUCGUUUCAUGUUCUUCUGUUUAUCUCAUUGGCAAGUUUCAUUAUUUAGUAGAUCAAUUUGCUAAUGUAGUGAUGUAUAAUAUGUUGAUAGUUUACUGUUGGUUGUUAAUUGCAGAAACUCCCAACAAGUUCCCAUAAUUUUUCUCUUGUAAUUGCAGUAAUCAAU
RNAcentral lists this unclassified non-coding RNA (285 nucleotides) under Hevea brasiliensis (rubber tree). Lineage: Eukaryota; Viridiplantae; Streptophyta; Magnoliopsida; Malpighiales; Euphorbiaceae. The record is from RNAcentral.